GACGAACGCUGGCGGCGUGCUUAACACAUGCAAGUCGAACGGAAAGGCCCUGCUUUUGUGGGGUGCUCGAGUGGCGAACGGGUGAGUAACACGUGAGUAACCUGCCCUUGACUUUGGGAUAACUUCAGGAAACUGGGGCUAAUACCGGAUAGGAUCUCCUGCUGCAUGGUGGGGGUUGGAAAGUUUCGGCGGUGGGGGAUGGACUCGCGGCUUAUCAGCUUGUUGGUGGGGUAGUGGCUUACCAAGGCUUUGACGGGUAGCCGGCCUGAGAGGGUGACCGGCCACAAUGGGACUGAGAUACGGCGCAGACUCCUACGGGAGGCAGCAGUGGGGAAUAUUGCACAGUGGGCGGAAGCCUGAUGCAGCAACGCCGCGUGCGGGAUGCCGGCCUUCGGGUUGUAAACCGCUUUCGCCUGUGACGAAGCGUGAGUGACGGUAAUGGGUAAAGAAGCACCGGCUAACUACGUG
This 468-nucleotide ribosomal RNA is filed under the name uncultured bacterium. RNAcentral's name for it is "partial 16S ribosomal RNA". It matches the Rfam family "Bacterial small subunit ribosomal RNA", at positions 28 to 507 of the family's 1533-position model. The record is from RNAcentral.